UUGGCCCUGAAUCAAGGCCCCCGGUUUGCCGUAGCCGCUGGUUUCAAACAGGAGCCCAGAGGAAACGUCUCCCGGUCUGUUGGUGCUCCUGUCCUGUGGAGCGGCCAGUUCGUGUGGGAGCGACAAGC
Molecule: small nucleolar RNA, 128 nt
Filed under: Mesitornis unicolor (brown roatelo)
Lineage: Eukaryota; Metazoa; Chordata; Aves; Mesitornithiformes; Mesitornithidae
Source: RNAcentral